AGAGCGAACGCUGGCGGCGUGCCUAACACAUGCAAGUCGAACGAGAAAGUGGAGCAAUCCAUGAGUAAAGUGGCGACCGGGUGAGUAACACGUGACUAACCUACCUUCGAGUGGGGGAUAACCUCGGGAAACCGAGGCUAAUACCGCAUAACAUCGUGAGAUCAAAGCAGUAAUGCGCUGGAAGAGGGGGUCGCGGCUGAUUAGCUAGUUGGCGGGGUAAUGGCCCACCAAGGCGAAGAUCGGUA
RNAcentral lists this ribosomal RNA (245 nucleotides) under uncultured bacterium. RNAcentral's name for it is "partial small subunit ribosomal RNA". It matches the Rfam family "Bacterial small subunit ribosomal RNA", at positions 26 to 285 of the family's 1533-position model. The record is from RNAcentral.